Non-coding RNA from Delphinapterus leucas (beluga whale), 623 nucleotides. Lineage: Eukaryota; Metazoa; Chordata; Mammalia; Artiodactyla; Monodontidae. The record is from RefSeq and is a predicted model, not a curated record.
UUCCUUCUCACCUCAUAGCAAUGGCGACAGAUUCUGAGUCUCCAGGGCAGGAACGGUGUCUUUACAUGACCUGGCACUAAGGAUCCUGAAAUCUCAGGAUGAAGCUAAAAAGGAGAGAAUCCCCAAGUCUCAGGGUAAGGAAACUUACUGACACCCUCAACAAAAUCAAACUCAGAUCCACUAAGGUGGGUGGUAGAGGAAAAAUUCUCACGGGGGUGUAGAAGGGAUGCAGCUUUCCUUGCCCGUGGUGGGCCCAGUGAGAUCAGGGAGAAAUCUCUGGGAGAAGGUGAAUAUUGGGGGACAGAAACAAGAGAGCCAGCCACCCUUCCUAUGCAGACAGUGUCCAUGUCCCUGCUUGGAGGAAGUGGGUUUGAUUUUAUUGAGGAAGCCAACACGUUUCCUUCUGUCCAGUGUGGCCUCUGUGUUGUUCAUAUUAUUGGUUUCCAGGAUGUGAAAAUGUCAUCCUAGGACAGAGCCUGGAAAAGAAUGGACUGAAUGCCUCCUUAGAGAGCUUUAGCCAACUAUCGAAGAAAGUGGGUUUCACCUUCCCUUCAGACUCAAAAAUCAUAUGCUGGGCUUCCCUGGUGGCGCAGUGGUUAAGAAUCCUCCUGCCAAUGCAGGGG